GGGGCUGCAAUGGUUUCGACGGGGAUGAUGAAUCUCAGGUAGCGAGUAGUGCUGAGCAUCACUUUAAUCGGCUCAAACUUAAAUUUAAACGCUAACGAUUACGAAUUAGCUGCUGCCUAAGGGCGGUCGUCUUAUCUUUGAGGACCACGGCUUAGAUCAAGGCGAAUAUUAGUGGUGAACGUGAACCGCCCCUUGCUCCGGAGGCGGUCAUGAACCAGGAGCUACUAAAGCUAUGACUUUGGUUAUGGAGUCAUAGCGGAGGGAAUGUAGACCAUAACCUACACUCGUAGAAGCCUUAGUGGACUUGUUUUCGGACAGGAGUUCAAUUCUCCUCAGCUCCACCA
RNAcentral lists this transfer-messenger RNA (344 nucleotides) under Clostridia. Its description in RNAcentral is "HGM11530 sp900751685 Standard tmRNA". It matches the Rfam family "transfer-messenger RNA". From Rfam's summary of the family: Bacterial tmRNA, also known as 10Sa RNA or SsrA, is named for its dual tRNA and mRNA-like properties. Its role is to liberate the mRNA from a stalled ribosome. To accomplish this part of the tmRNA is used as a reading frame that ends in a translation stop signal. The record is from RNAcentral. Lineage: Bacteria; Bacillati; Bacillota. RNAcentral also lists the same sequence under 1 other name.